This 468-nucleotide ribosomal RNA is filed under the name uncultured bacterium. RNAcentral describes it as "partial 16S ribosomal RNA". It matches the Rfam family "Bacterial small subunit ribosomal RNA", at positions 28 to 507 of the family's 1533-position model. The record is from RNAcentral.
GACGAACGCUGGCGGCGUGCUUAACACAUGCAAGUCGAACGGAAAGGCCCUGCAUUUGUGGGGUGCUCGAGUGGCGAACGGGUGAGUAACACGUGAGUAACCUGCCCUUGACUUUGGGAUAACUUCAGGAAACUGGGGCUAAUACCGGAUAGGAGCUCCUGCUGCAUGGUGGGGGUUGGAAAGUUUCGGCGGUUGGGGAUGGACACGCGGCUUAUCAGCUUGUUGGUGGGGUAGUGGCUUACCAAGGCUUUGACGGGUAGCCGGCCUGAGAGGGUGACCGGCCACAUUGGGACUGAGAUACGGCCCAGACUCCUACGGGAGGCAGCAGUGGGGAAUAUUGCACAAUGGGCGGAAGCCUGAUGCAGCAACGCCGCGUGCGGGAUGACGGCCUUCGGGUUGUAAACCGCUUUCGCCUGUGACGAAGCGUGAGUGACGGUAAUGGGUAAAGAAGCACCGGCUAACUACGUG